RNAcentral lists this long non-coding RNA (305 nucleotides) under Medicago truncatula (barrel medic). RNAcentral describes it as "long non-coding RNA (MTRU_LNC006870)". Lineage: Eukaryota; Viridiplantae; Streptophyta; Magnoliopsida; Fabales; Fabaceae. The record is from RNAcentral.
GAAAAGAUGAAUAUUUGUGAUGGCUAGCUACUCUAUUUAUAGUUUACAUUCGACUUAAAAUCUAAGCAAUCACUAGAAUGUUCCACAAGUAAACUAAAACAGAGUAGCUUAAAAUCUAAACAAAAGCAGCAAAAGUAGCUCUGGAGUGUGGCACGGCCGUGCCAAGCCUAGCACGGGCCGUGCCAAGCUUCUGACUUUGGGGGAGAUAUAUUUUGUCUCCAAAUCUUCGUAUUUUCGUACCGAAUCAGCUCCAAAUCCCUUUCUUUUGCUCCAAGACUCAAUCCAUCCAAUAUUCGUUCCUGAAA